Molecule: microRNA precursor, 103 nt
Filed under: Chlorocebus sabaeus (green monkey)
Lineage: Eukaryota; Metazoa; Chordata; Mammalia; Primates; Cercopithecidae
Description: miRNA (ENSCSAG00000024885.1)
Source: RNAcentral
CUUUGAAGCUCUGAAGCCAGACAUUGACUUCUCUCUAGCUGUGAAAGUCCUAGAUGGCAUCUUCCUCUAAUAUAGGCUGUUUUGUCUACAUUGAGAAUCUGUU